GCCGAAGUGGCGGAAUUGGUAGACGCGCUAGGUUCAGGGUCUAGUGGGUGAACGCCCAUCCCGGUUCAAGUCCGGGCUUCGGCACCA
RNAcentral lists this transfer RNA (87 nucleotides) under Dehalococcoidia bacterium. RNAcentral's name for it is "tRNA-Leu". It matches the Rfam family "tRNA". Rfam says of the family: Transfer RNA (tRNA) molecules are approximately 80 nucleotides in length. Their secondary structure includes four short double-helical elements and three loops (D, anti-codon, and T loops). The record is from RNAcentral. Lineage: Bacteria; Bacillati; Chloroflexota; Dehalococcoidia.